CUUGGUGUGGAUCUCACACAAGGCAUUCCACUCUGGUCACCGAGCAAUCAACACCGAGUUACUCGAGCCAUCUUAAGGUUUGGACUCUGGUCGUGUGGGGGCUAUACCUGUGGGGUAUACACUACUUGUAUAUUGAUUUAUAGAUCCUGGGGAUAAAUGAUCCUAUAUGGAAACCCCAGUGUUCUAAUUUACUUAUAAUUAAUUAACCCUAUUAUUAAAGCCCUUCAGAUCCUGAA
This is a long non-coding RNA of Gigantopelta aegis, 236 nucleotides long. RefSeq lists it as uncharacterized. NCBI's taxonomy places the organism in Eukaryota, Metazoa, Mollusca, Gastropoda, Neomphalida, Peltospiridae. The transcript is spliced from 3 exons. The record is from RefSeq and is a predicted model, not a curated record.